This 76-nucleotide transfer RNA is filed under the name Ignavibacteria bacterium. Its description in RNAcentral is "tRNA-Thr". It matches the Rfam family "tRNA". Rfam says of the family: Transfer RNA (tRNA) molecules are approximately 80 nucleotides in length. Their secondary structure includes four short double-helical elements and three loops (D, anti-codon, and T loops). Lineage: Bacteria; Pseudomonadati; Ignavibacteriota; Ignavibacteria. The record is from RNAcentral.
GCUGGCGUAGCUCAGCUGGUAGAGCAGCUGACUUGUAAUCAGCAGGUCGUGGGUUCGAGUCCCUCCGCCAGCUCUA